Molecule: ribosomal RNA, 460 nt
Filed under: uncultured bacterium
Lineage: Bacteria
Description: bacterial SSU rRNA
Rfam family: Bacterial small subunit ribosomal RNA
Source: RNAcentral
UACGGAAGGCAGCAGUGGGGAAUAUUGCACAAUGGGCGAAAGCCUGAUGCAGCUAUGCCGCGUGUAUGAAGAAGGCCUUAGGGUUGUAAAGUACUUUCAUCGGGGAGGAAAAAACAAAACUAAUAAUUUUAUUUCUUGACGUUACCCGAAAAAGAAGCACCGGCUAACUCCGUGCCAGCAGCCGCGGUAAUACGGAGGGUGCUAGCGUUAAUCAGAAUUACUGGGCGUAAAGAGCACGUAGGUGGUUUUUUUAAGUCAGAUGUGAAAUCCCUGGGCUUAACCUAGGAACUGCAUUUUGAAACUGAAAUACUAGAGUAUCGUAGAGGGAGGUAGAAUUCUAGGUGUAGCGGUGAAAUGCGUAGAUAUCUGGAGGAAUACCUGUGGCGAAAGCGGCCUCCUAAACGAAUACUGACACUGAGGUGCGAAAAGCGUGGGGAGCAAAACAGGGAUUAAGGAUACC